CGGCGACACCCUUGUUUUUUAACGUGAUCCAAGAUGCCGUCGAGCACAUAAAAGACGAAGCCCAAGAGAUUGCCAACAACAUCAACCAGGGCAUACAGGAUGCAAUUAAUCAGGUCAGCAACAGCAGCAGCGAAGCCGCAGCCAACGCCACCGCUUCUGCUGACGACAGCAGCUCUGCAGUAUCAGCAGACAGCGAAACUGAGGAGGACGCAUCUGACUACGCAUCUGAUUCUGCAUCUGACUCCACAUCCAACUCUGCAUCUGACUCUACAUCCGACUCCGCAUCUGACUCUACAUCCAACUCCGCAUCUGACUCCACGUCUGACUCUACAUCCGACUCCACAUCUGAUUCCGCAUCUGACUCCGCAUCUGACUCUGCAUCUGACUCCAGCUCCUCAUAAGGAGACGGGAUGGAGAGUGAAAGUGAGACUGAGAGCCUCUGAGCAUGAGGAGGUUCACAGGACAACAUCUAUACCUGUGUUCAUGGCAUUACUCUGAAAUUUCCCGUUUUAGCCGUUAAUAUCGUGAUUUUGAUCAUUUAAUUCCUUACAAUAACAGUGCCAAAUCUUAGAAAUAAACAUCUCUGACUCACA
Long non-coding RNA from Schistocerca piceifrons (Central American locust), 593 nucleotides. RefSeq lists it as uncharacterized. The record is from RefSeq and is a predicted model, not a curated record. The transcript has 2 exons. Lineage: Eukaryota; Metazoa; Arthropoda; Insecta; Orthoptera; Acrididae.